UAAGGUAGCGAAAUUCCUUGGCCAUUAAAUGUGGUCCUGCAUGAAUAGAGUAAUGAUGGCUCUGCUGUCUCGCGCAGUUACUCAGUGAAAUUGAAUUAGCCGUGAAGAUGCGGUUUGUAUCUAGGCAGACGGGAAGACCCUAUGCAGCUUUACUAUAGCCUGUUACUGUGUUUGUUUUAAUCAGGUGUAGAGUAAAAGGGAGUUCGAUAGAACGCACAUGAAACACCUUUACUGAUUUAAAGUGGACACUUAUCCUGUGAUUACAGGAAAAAGUGACUGGUGGGUAGUUUAACUGGGACGGUUUCCUUUAAUAUAGUAUCAAAGGACUUCAAAGGUAUGUUUACAUUAGAUGGAAACUAAUUGGCUAUGUAGAGCUAAAUGAAGUGUAAAGGCAUAAACAUGCUUGACUGUUAGACUUAUAAGUCGCGCAGGUACGCAAGUAGGACUUAGUGAUCCGG
RNAcentral lists this ribosomal RNA (458 nucleotides) under Chloropicon mariensis. RNAcentral describes it as "partial Bacterial large subunit ribosomal RNA". It matches the Rfam family "Bacterial large subunit ribosomal RNA", at positions 1952 to 2423 of the family's 2925-position model. The record is from RNAcentral. Lineage: Eukaryota; Viridiplantae; Chlorophyta; Chloropicophyceae; Chloropicales; Chloropicaceae.